AGAGUUUGAUCCUGGCUCAGGACGAACGCUGGCGGCGUGCUUAACACAUGCAAGUCGAACGGAAAGGCCCUGCUUUUGUGGGGUGCUCGAGUGGCGAACGGGUGAGUAACACGUGAGUAACCUGCCCUUGACUUUGGGAUAACUUCAGGAAACUGGGGCUAAUACCGGAUAGGAGCUCCUGCUGCAUGGUGGGGGUUGGAAAGUUUCGGCGGUUGGGGAUGGACUCGCGGCUUAUCAGCUUGUUGGUGGGGUAGUGGCUUACCAAGGCUUUGACGGGUAGCCGGCCUGAGAGGGUGACCGGCCACAUUGGGACUGAGAUACGGCCCAGACUCCUACGGGAGGCAGCAGUGGGGAAUAUUGCACAAUGGGCGGAAGCCUGAUGCAGCAACGCCGCGUGCGGGAUGACGGCCUUCGGGUUGUAAACCGCUUUCGCCUGUGACGAAGCGUGAGUGACGGUAAUGGUAA
RNAcentral lists this ribosomal RNA (465 nucleotides) under uncultured organism. RNAcentral describes it as "bacterial SSU rRNA". It matches the Rfam family "Bacterial small subunit ribosomal RNA", at positions 8 to 484 of the family's 1533-position model. The record is from RNAcentral.